UCCAUUGUUGGUGGCAAGAUAGUACCAUUCCGGCAACAUUUUGGGAUCAUCCCCAUGGUUGUAUCGUUUGCCUUUGUCAGAGGCAGGUCAAUAAUCGUCGGCCUCCUCUCACAGUUCAACACAUUGCCAAAGUCUAGAUCCCUAUAGUCCUUGCGGACCGAAUAUGCAGUCUGAUGAAUCAACGACAUACGGAUAAGCCCCUUUCAUCGUAUAUAUAAAUUCAUCCCUCAUCCAAUCAAAACUCAAUUUCCAAUUAUCAAGUCGCCCAAGGGGGUUAUGGUUUGAGAUAGUAACCUGUGCCCAAUAGUUCGAGUCGUACGUUCUCGUCACAUCAUACAUAAUUGUAAGAUCACCACUUUGCCGAG
RNAcentral lists this long non-coding RNA (365 nucleotides) under Gossypium barbadense (sea-island cotton). Its description in RNAcentral is "long non-coding RNA (GBAR_LNC001165)". Lineage: Eukaryota; Viridiplantae; Streptophyta; Magnoliopsida; Malvales; Malvaceae. The record is from RNAcentral.